This is a long non-coding RNA of Sphaerodactylus townsendi, 290 nucleotides long. RefSeq lists it as uncharacterized. Lineage: Eukaryota; Metazoa; Chordata; Lepidosauria; Squamata; Sphaerodactylidae. The record is from RefSeq and is a predicted model, not a curated record. The transcript has 3 exons.
UUAAAACAACUCUGAAAAAUGUUCUGCUGAAACUUUCCAGUUCAGUUUGAAGAUGGACACACAUGCUGUCAAAGCGGAUGACUCAGAUGUAGGGCUUCCUGCAGUGUCACUCUUGAGAACAAAUGUCUUCCCUUUCAUUUCUGAUUGUACACACUGAGGAAGCUGUUGAUUCUUCACACAGGGGAACAGCAAAAGCAUCUUUAUAGCUUGCAUUACUGAAGGAGGAGACAAACUUGAUUUCAUCUGAUUCUUCAUCAUCACUGCAGCAGCACAUCUUGGAGAGAGAAAGG